AUACGGAGGGUGCAAGCGUUAUCCGGAUUCAUUGGGUUUAAAGGGUGCGCAGGCGGAUAUUUAAGUCAGUGGUGAAAUCCCGGGGCUCAACCUCGGAACUGCCAUUGAUACUGAAUAUCUUGAAUACGGUUGAAGUGGGCGGAAUGUAGCAUGUAGCGGUGAAAUGCAUAGAGAUGCUACAGAACACCGAUCGCGAAGGCAGCUCACUAAGCCGAUAUUGACGCUCAGGCACGAAAGCGUGGGGAGCGAACAGAAUUAGAAACCCUAGUAGUCC
RNAcentral lists this ribosomal RNA (274 nucleotides) under uncultured bacterium. RNAcentral's name for it is "partial 16S ribosomal RNA". It matches the Rfam family "Bacterial small subunit ribosomal RNA", at positions 523 to 796 of the family's 1533-position model. The record is from RNAcentral.